AUUGAACGCUGGCGGCAUGCUUUACACAUGCAAGUCGGACGGCAGCGGGGUAGUGCUUGCACUACUGCCGGCGAGUGGCGAACGGGUGAGUAACAUAUCGGAACGUACCGAGCAGUGGGGGAUAACUAAUCGAAAGAUUAGCUAAUACCGCAUAUAUUCUGAGGAAGAAAGCAGGGGACCUUUGGGCCUUGCGCUGUUUGAGCGGCCGAUAUCUGAUUAGCUGGUUGGUGGGGUAAAGGCCUACCAAGGCGACGAUCAGUAGCGGGUCUGAGAGGAUGAUCCGCCACACUGGGACUGAGACACGGCCCAGACUCCUACGGGAGGCAGCAGUGGGGAAUUUUGGACAAUGGGGGCAACCCUGAUCCAGCCAUGCCGCGUGUCUGAAGAAGGCCUUCGGGUUGUAAAGGACUUUUGUCCCGGGAAGAAAAGCGCGAUGUUAAUACCAUUGCGUGCUGACGGUAACCGGAAGAAUAAGCACCGGCUAACUAAC
RNAcentral lists this ribosomal RNA (490 nucleotides) under Neisseria sp. oral taxon 014. RNAcentral's name for it is "bacterial SSU rRNA". It matches the Rfam family "Bacterial small subunit ribosomal RNA", at positions 30 to 505 of the family's 1533-position model. Lineage: Bacteria; Pseudomonadati; Pseudomonadota; Betaproteobacteria; Neisseriales; Neisseriaceae. The record is from RNAcentral.